This 2451-nucleotide long non-coding RNA is filed under the name Podarcis lilfordi (Lilford's wall lizard). The record is from RNAcentral. Lineage: Eukaryota; Metazoa; Chordata; Lepidosauria; Squamata; Lacertidae.
ACCUAGCGCAAUAUUGCCUGCGCUGGCUGGCAGUGGCUAUCCCGGAGGCAAGGCAUGCUUCUCUCCCAUCCCUACCCAGAGACUGAACCUUGGACCUUCUGCAAGCCAAGCAGGUGCCCGGCCACCAAGCCACAAAUCUUCCCCUUCUCUUGGCUCCGACGCCCUUCCUCAGCUUUGCCGCACUGGCUUCGAAAGCGAUUGGCCAAAGUAACGCAGAGGCGAAAGAAGUCUGGGAAUGAGCAGCUGAUUCCCCAGGAGAAGAAAUCAGGGGUGCGCAGGAGGAAGAAGGAGACUCCCCGUCGGUCGGCGCCAAGCAGACUGAGACGCCUGUUGGGAGGGGAAAGUCCAUUGCUCUCUGCGGUAAACUCUCCUCCCGUCGCAGGACAAAGGCAGCUCCCCUGUGUGCAUUCCAAGGAGAUCAGCUGGACAUCCCAGCGCUGCUUUUGAUUCCGUCUAGAAACCUAUCUUUUCAAGAUAAUUUCUUUCACAAAACAAAGUAAGGGGGGGCGGUUGGGGUGGAAGACAAAAGUCUGUUUCCCAUUUGGUAGGUGACCUGUUUAAUGUUUUCUCUGUGUCUGGGAACUCCUUAGUGUAAUUAGGGACCUUUGAACUCCCCAACUAAUCCGGAGCUAUUUUGUAUUCCUGACUCAUCUUGAAGGCUGGACCUUUCUUUUCUUCCGAGUCUGCUGCCACAAUUAAAGAAGAAACAGCUGCAUUUCAAAGAGAUUCCAAUUCCAGAAGCUAAAUCGUGAUUGACACGUUCUUAUUCUAAGCUAUAAGAAACUCGUAAGAGUCCUUUCUUGGGUUAAAACUUCAAUCACUUUCUAAAAAAUUAUCUCAAUAUGGAUUUUAUUCAUUUUCUUUGAUAGCCAUUCUUUGCAGAGAUACACACACACACACACACACACACACACACUGCGUUGGUGGCGAAUAUGAACUGCUAGCAUAAGGGUGUCUUGGGACCCUGAGCCAUCUUCUAGAGACAGCAAUGGGCAAAUUCUGUUUAGUGUCAAAAAUUACGAUUAGGGAAUCAGACACCUGCCACAUAGCCUAGCAUGGUUCCAGACAGCCAAAAGAUGAAGGAAGUGGGACGUUCUUGAAGUCAGACGGCGAAGGCUUGUCAUCAACCCAACAGUGAAAGCCGCCAAUCGGAAUUCACAUUUUUACCAGUUUAGGAAUGUAUAGUCUCUUAUUCCAGUUUAGCAUAACUUCCUUCGGUUCCUUAACCCAAGGAGCAGUAGUUUUGCAAAAAUGCAAAUUAUUAGUCAUUAAUCCCCCCCCCCCAAAAAAAAAUCUCUGAAUGUCUGCUUUGAAACAGCUAGCAAAAUACAUAAGGUUUUGAGAUAACGCUGGCAGCCGUUUUCUGGAACAGGAAGCAACACAGGUGGCCAAACUGAACAGUUGGAAGUAAGGAAUUGUGGAAAUAGCCAGGAUCCUUAAAUGGCUGCUCUGGGUUUACUAAAAAAACAACCUUUUACAGAAUGUGCAGCCAGAAUCCAAAUGCAUAAAAUUCACUUGAGUUCAAUUUCCAGAUUUGUUUUGGGCAAUGCAGAUGCUUAUUUAAGAUCCGGGGGGUAGCUGUCCACAUGCUGCUGUUCUGCUUUCGGCUUGCAGUGUCUCAAAAGGAGCUUGCCUAAGGGAGAAAAUUAACUAGCCUGCAAUCCUAUACUCGCCUUCAGCAGGACGUACUGUGUAGACGUGUAUAGAACUGCACUGUUAGCUUUUAAUUUUAGUAUUGCAUUUAUAUCACGCCCUUCCUGCAAAGAGCAUACAUGCUUCUCCCCUGCCCUCUCUAUUGUACCCUCACAACAUCCCUGCGAGGUUGGCUAGGCUGAGAGAUAGUGACUGGCCCAAGGUCACCCAGUGAGCUUCAUGGCUGAGCGGAAAUCUGAACACUGGUACAGUGGUGCCCCGCAAGACGAACGCCUCGCAAGACGGAAAACUCACUAGACGAAAGGGUUUUCCGUUUUCUGAGCUGCUUCGCAAGACGAAUUUCCCUAUGGGCUUGCUUUGCAAGACGAAAACGUCUUGCAAGUUUGUUUCCUUUUUCUUAACACUGUUAAUACAGUUGCGACUUGACUUCGAGGAGCAACUCAUAGAACGCAGUGUACAUAGUAGCCUUUUUUGAGGUUUUUAAAGACUUUGGUGAUUUUUGAAGCUUUUCCAAAACUUCUUUUGCAGCCAUUUGGUAAGUUAAGCUUUUAAAACUUUUGGGGGGCUUUGGAUUUUGGGUUGGGGUGUUUGGAAUUCAAGGACUUGGUGUUGGGGAGGGGUUUGCAAGAAUCUGGAAGCUUGUUUUUUUCCCCUGCAUUUUUAUGAUUUUCUGUGACCAUUGGGCAACUCUGCUGUUUUUUAAAAAAAAUUCUGGGUUUGAAUUUUGAAAUGCUCUUUACAGUAUGUGUGACUUUAAAGAGCACUUAAUAAACUCUUGUUGUACCAAAUUUGGCUUUG